Molecule: ribosomal RNA, 398 nt
Filed under: uncultured bacterium
Lineage: Bacteria
Description: bacterial SSU rRNA
Rfam family: Bacterial small subunit ribosomal RNA
Source: RNAcentral
GAUGAACGCUGGCGGCGUGCUUAACACAUGCAAGUCGAACGAUGAAAGCGGGAGCUUGCUCCUGCUGGAUUAGUGGCGAACGGGUGAGUAACACGUGAGUAACCUGCCCUUGACUCUGGGAUAAGCGUUGGAAACGACGUCUAAUACCGGAUACGACCUUCGGAGGCAUCUCCUGGGGGUGGAAAGAAUUUCGGUCAAGGAUGGACUCGCGGCCUAUCAGCUAGUUGGUGAGGUAAUGGCUCACCAAGGCGACGACGGGUAGCCGGCCUGAGAGGGUGACCGGCCACACUGGGACUGAGACACGGCCCAGACUCCUACGGGAGGCAGCAGUGGGGAAUAUUGCACAAUGGGCGCAAGCCUGAUGCAGCAACGCCGCGUGAGGGACGACGGCCUCGGUU